This is a long non-coding RNA of Penaeus monodon (black tiger shrimp), 297 nucleotides long. RefSeq lists it as uncharacterized. The record is from RefSeq and is a predicted model, not a curated record. The transcript has 3 exons. Lineage: Eukaryota; Metazoa; Arthropoda; Malacostraca; Decapoda; Penaeidae.
UUUUUCUAAGUGUAGUAAACAAAAUUCUAUUCUAGGUAGAGCAACAUGAUGGUGCAUCAACCCAUCAACCUAUUGCAAAGAAGCCCCAGCGACCACCCUUCAUCAAAAACCUCUUUCUUGGAAAGUUUGAUAAGGAGAUGCUGGCUUUUCCUGAAGUUUUAGACAAAGAUCAGCAUGAGUUGCUCCAUGAUAUGCUGGUUCCCAUUGAAAAGUUCUUUGAAGAGGAAGUUGAUGGCCCAAAGAUUGACAAAAAUGCAAAAAUUCCUCAAGAUACCCUGGAUGGCCUAAAGAACCUGG